This 484-nucleotide ribosomal RNA is filed under the name uncultured bacterium. RNAcentral describes it as "partial 16S ribosomal RNA". It matches the Rfam family "Bacterial small subunit ribosomal RNA", at positions 30 to 507 of the family's 1533-position model. The record is from RNAcentral.
AUUGAACGCUGGCGGCAGGCCUAACACAUGCAAGUCGAGCGGAUGAAGUGAGCUUGCUUCUGGAUUCAGCGGCGGACGGGUGAGUAAUUCCUAGGAAUCUGCCUGGUAGUGGGGGAUAACGUCCGGAAACGGGCGCUAAUACCGCAUACGUUCUGAGGGAGAAAGUGGGGGAUCUUCUGACCUCACGCUAUCACAUGAGCCUAGGUCGGAUUAGCUAGUUGGUGGGGUAAAGGCCUACCAAGGCGACGAUCCGUAACUGGUCUGAGAGGAUGAUCAGUCACACUGGAACUGAGACACGGUCCAGACUCCUACGGGAGGCAGCAGUGGGGAAUAUUGGACAAUGGGCGAAAGCCUGAUCCAGCCAUGCCGCGUGUGUGAAGAAGGUCUUCGGAUUGUAAAGCACUUUAAGUUGGGAGGAAGGGCAGUAAGUUAAUACCUUGAUGUUUUGACGUUACCAACAGAAUAAGCACCGGCUAACUUCGUG